UUAUACUAGUUUGAUGAGUUUUUAACUUUUGAUUAGUUGUUAAUCUUGGUUUCUGUUUGGAUCACUGCUGUUCUGCUGCAGAUUUUGAAAAUUAACAAGCACUCUGCUGCACUCCUCAAUGGAAGACAAAGUCAGUUUGGUCGGGUUAUUGGAUCUCAUGUUAAGGACGAAUUGAAGAACUCAAAUUGGUUUUAAACAGCAAACUGAAUAGAAAAGGUUUGGAUUCAAGCUGAAUUGGUUUAGUGCUGAUUUUUUUUUCUGGCUCAAGAGACAGGAUUUCUGGUCAAGGAGAGGAGUGAAGGAGAAAUGGGUUCUGCACUCAGAUGAGUUUUUAGCCUCUCCAAAGUUGGAAACGUUAAAGAUCUUGCAAGAUUAGGUUGUGGUCAAUUGUUAUAAAG
This is a long non-coding RNA of Rosa rugosa (rugosa rose), 398 nucleotides long. RefSeq lists it as uncharacterized. Lineage: Eukaryota; Viridiplantae; Streptophyta; Magnoliopsida; Rosales; Rosaceae. The transcript is spliced from 3 exons. The record is from RefSeq and is a predicted model, not a curated record.